AUACGGAGGGUGCAAGCGUUGUUCGGAAUUACUGGGCGUAAAGAGCGUGUAGGCGGUUUGGCAAGUCAGAUGUGAAAGCCCCGGGCUUAACCUGGGAAGUGCAUUUGAAACUGCUUCACUAGAGUAUGGGAGAGGAGAUUGGAAUUCCUGGUGUAGAGGUGAAAUUCGUAGAUAUCAGGAGGAACACCCGUGGCGAAGGCGAUUCUCUGGACCAAUACUGACGCUGAGACGCGAAAGCGUGGGGAGCAAACAGGAUUAGAUACCCUGGUAGUCCACGCCGUAAACGAUGAGAACUAGGUGUAGUGGGUAUUGACCCCUGCUGUGCCGAAGUUAACGCAUUAAGUUCUCCGCCUGGGGAGUACGGCCGCAAGGCUAAA
This 377-nucleotide ribosomal RNA is filed under the name uncultured bacterium. RNAcentral's name for it is "bacterial SSU rRNA". It matches the Rfam family "Bacterial small subunit ribosomal RNA", at positions 523 to 898 of the family's 1533-position model. The record is from RNAcentral.